AGUGAGGAGAGCCUCUCUGUAUGUUUUCUUUAAAGGGGGUGGUGGGAAUAAGGUUGCAGGUUGAUUGCUCCUGUGCUGUCUGUUGGUCUGAUGCUUGUCCCCGAGUUGCAGUUUAUCUUGGGUCCGAGGUAUGGAGGUGUUUAAUGAUCCUUUGACGGAAUGGGUGUCAUCAUGUUUGAAGUAGAUGGUGUGAGUUAAUGCGUUGCCUUCUAUGUGUG
This 218-nucleotide long non-coding RNA is filed under the name Ananas comosus (pineapple). Its description in RNAcentral is "long non-coding RNA (ACOM_LNC001710)". The record is from RNAcentral. Lineage: Eukaryota; Viridiplantae; Streptophyta; Magnoliopsida; Poales; Bromeliaceae.